AGUUUGAUCCUGGCUCAGGAUGAACGCUGGCGGCGUGCUUAACACAUGCAAGUCGAACGAAGCACUUUAUUUGAUUUCCUUCGGGACUGAUUAUUUUGUGACUGAGUGGCGGACGGGUGAGUAACGCGUGGGUAACCUGCCUUGUACAGGGGGAUAACAGUUGGAAACGGCUGCUAAUACCGCAUAAGCGCACAGCAUCGCAUGAUGCAGUGUGAAAAACUCCGGUGGUAUAAGAUGGACCCGCGUUGGAUUAGCUAGUUGGUGAGGUAACGGCUCACCAAGGCGACGAUCCAUAGCCGACCUGAGAGGGUGACCGGCCACAUUGGGACUGAGACACGGCCCAAACUCCUACGGGAGGCAGCAGUGGGGAAUAUUGCACAAUGGGCGAAAGCCUGAUGCAGCGACGCCGCGUGAGCGAAGAAGUAUUUCGGUAUGUAAAGCUCUAUCAGCAGGGAAGAUAAUGACGGUACCUGACUAAGAAGCACCGGCUAAAUACGUGCCAGCAGCCGCGGUAAUACGUAUGGUGCAAGCGUUAUCCGGAUUUACUGGGUGUAAAGGGAGCGCAGGCGGUGCGGCAAGUCUGAUGUGAAAGCCCGGGGCUCAACCCCGGUACUGCAUUGGAAACUGUCGUACUAGAGUGUCGGAGGGGUAAGCGGAAUUCCUAGUGUAGCGGUGAAAUGCGUAGAUAUUAGGAGGAACACCAGUGGCGAAGGCGGCUUACUGGACGAUAACUGACGCUGAGGCUCGAAAGCGUGGGGAGCAAACAGGAUUAGAUACCCUGGUAGUCCAUGCGGUAAACGAUGAAUGCUAGGUGUCGGGGAGCAAAGCUCUUCGGUGCCGCCGCAAACGCAUUAAGCAUUCCACCUGGGGAGUACGUUCGCAAGAAUGAAACUCAAAGGAAUUGACGGAAGGGC
This 914-nucleotide ribosomal RNA is filed under the name uncultured bacterium. RNAcentral describes it as "bacterial SSU rRNA". It matches the Rfam family "Bacterial small subunit ribosomal RNA", at positions 10 to 922 of the family's 1533-position model. The record is from RNAcentral.